Molecule: ribosomal RNA, 164 nt
Filed under: uncultured bacterium
Lineage: Bacteria
Description: partial 16S rRNA
Rfam family: Bacterial small subunit ribosomal RNA
Source: RNAcentral
UAGGGAAUCUCCCACAAUGGACGCAAGUCUGAUGGAGCAACGCCGCGUGAGUGAAGAAGGUCUUCGGAUCGUAAAACUCUGUUGUUAGAGAAGAACACGAGUGAGAGUAACUGUUCAUUCGAUGACGGUAUCUAACCAGCAAGUCACGGCUAACUACGUGCCAG